AUUGAACGCUGGCGGCAGGCUUAACACAUGCAAGUCGAACGAGUGGCGGACGGGUGAGUAAUGCUUGGGAAUCUAGCUUAUGGAGGGGGAUAACUACGGGAAACUGUAGCUAAUACCGCGUACCAUAGGCUGAGCCCAAGUGGGAUUAGGGAGUGGGGGAGGUAAAGGCUCACCAAGGCGACGAUCUCUAGCUGGUCGGAGAGGAUGAACAGCCACACGGGGACUGAGACACGGCCCAGACGCCUACGGUAGGCAGCAGUGUGGAAUAUUGCGCAAUGGGGGCAAGCCUUAUGCAGCCAUGCCGCGUGUAUGAAGAAGGCCUUCGGGUUGUAAAGUAUGUUCAGUCGGGAGGCGUUACCGACAGAAGAAGCACCGGCUAACUCCGUGCCAGCAGCCGCGGUAAUAC
Molecule: ribosomal RNA, 406 nt
Filed under: uncultured bacterium
Lineage: Bacteria
Description: partial 16S ribosomal RNA
Rfam family: Bacterial small subunit ribosomal RNA
Source: RNAcentral